CCGGCGCACGGGUGAGUAACGCGUAUCCAACCUGCCCACCACUUGGGGAUAACCUUGCGAAAGUAAGACUAAUACCCAAUGACGUCUCUAGAAGACAUCUGAAGGAGAUUAAAGAUUUAUCGGUGAUGGAUGGGGAUGCGUCUGAUUAGCUUGUUGGCGGGGUAACGGCCCACCAAGGCUACGAUCAGUAGGGGUUCUGAGAGGAAGGUCCCCCACAUUGGAACUGAGACACGGUCCAAACUCCUACGGGAGGCAGCAGUGAGGAAUAUUGGUCAAUGGACGAGAGUCUGAACCAGCCAAGUAGCGUGCAGGAUGACGGCCCUAUGGGUUGUAAACUGCUUUUAUAAGGGAAUAAAGUGAGUCUCGUGAGGCUUUUUGCAUGUACCUUAUGAAUAAGGACCGGCUAAUUCCGUGCCAGCAGCCGCGGUAAUACGGAAGGUCCGGGCGUUAUCCGGAUUUAUUGGGUUUAAAGGGAGCGUAGGCCGGAGAUUAAGCGUGUUGUGAAAUGUAGACGCUCAACGUCUGCACUGCAGCGCGAACUGGUUUCCUUGAGUACGCACAAAGUGGGCGGAAUUCGUGGUGUAGCGGUGAAAUGCUUAGAUAUCACGAAGAACUCCGAUUGCGAAGGCAGCUCACUGGAGCGCAACUGACGCUGAAGCUCGAAAGUGCGGGUAUCGAACAGGAUUAGAUACCCUGGUAGUCCGCACGGUAAACGAUGGAUGCCCGCUGUUGGUCUGAAUAGGUCAGCGGCC
Molecule: ribosomal RNA, 752 nt
Filed under: uncultured bacterium
Lineage: Bacteria
Description: bacterial SSU rRNA
Rfam family: Bacterial small subunit ribosomal RNA
Source: RNAcentral